RNAcentral lists this ribosomal RNA (497 nucleotides) under uncultured bacterium. RNAcentral describes it as "partial 16S ribosomal RNA". It matches the Rfam family "Bacterial small subunit ribosomal RNA", at positions 28 to 507 of the family's 1533-position model. The record is from RNAcentral.
GACGAACGCUGGCGGCGUGCCUAAUACAUGCAAGUUGAGCGAUGAAGAUUGGUGCUUGCACCAAUUUGAAGAGCAGCGAACGGGUGAGUAACGCGUGGGGAAUCUGCCUUUGAGCGGGGGACAACAUUUGGAAACGAAUGCUAAUACCGCAUAACAACUUUAAACAUAAGUUUUAAGUUUGAAAGAUGCAAUUGCAUCACUCAAAGAUGAUCCCGCGUUGUAUUAGCUAGUUGGUGAGGUAAAGGCUCACCAAGGCGAUGAUACAUAGCCGACCUGAGAGGGUGAUCGGCCACAUUGGGACUGAGACACGGCCCAAACUCCUACGGGAGGCAGCAGUAGGGAAUCUUCGGCGAUGGACGAAAGUCUGGCCGAGCAACGCCGCGUGAGUGAAGAAGGUUUUCGGAUCGUAAAACUCUGUUGGUAGAGAAGAACGUUGGUGAGAGUGGAAAGCUCAUCAAGUGACGGUAACUACCCAGAAAGGGACGGCUAACUACGUG